GAGAGAGAGAGAGAGGGAGAAAAAUGAUGCUAUAGAGAGAGAUUUAGUAUGCACUUGCACGUAGCUUUAGAGUAGUGAUGCUAUAAAGUUUCUUUGGAUACAAACUCAAAGAGUUCUUUUUCUCUUUGUUAUGAUGAAUAUGAUGUUAUGUAGUUGAGUUUUAUUGAGGUUAUUUGGAUCUCUUCCAAAGUGUCAAUGUCAAUGUUUAUUUCUAAUAGCAAGAAGAGAGAGAGAGAGAGA
Molecule: unclassified non-coding RNA, 240 nt
Filed under: Hevea brasiliensis (rubber tree)
Lineage: Eukaryota; Viridiplantae; Streptophyta; Magnoliopsida; Malpighiales; Euphorbiaceae
Source: RNAcentral